UGGGGAAUAUUGCACAAUGGGCGCAAGCCUGAUGCAGCCAUGCCGCGUGUAUGAAGAAGGCCUUCGGGUUGUAAAGUACUUUCAGUCGGGAGGAAGGUGUCAAGGUUAAUAACCUUGGCAAUUGACGUUACCGACAGAAGAAGCACCGGCUAACUCCGUGCCAGCAGCCGCGGUAAUACGGAGGGUGCAAGCGUUAAUCGGAAUUACUGGGCGUAAAGCGCACGCAGGCGGUUGAUUGAGUCAGAUGUGAAAUCCCCGGGCUUAACCCGGGAAUUGCAUCUGAUACUGGUCAGCUAGAGGCUUGUAGAGGGGGGUAGAAUUCCAGGUGUAGCGGUGAAAUGCGUAGAGAUCUGGAGGAAUACCGGUGGCGAAGGCGGCCCCCUGGACGAAGACUGACGCUCAGGUGCGAAAGCGUGGGGAGCAAACAGG
RNAcentral lists this ribosomal RNA (429 nucleotides) under Chloroflexota bacterium. RNAcentral's name for it is "Chloroflexi bacterium partial 16S ribosomal RNA". It matches the Rfam family "Bacterial small subunit ribosomal RNA", at positions 355 to 776 of the family's 1533-position model. The record is from RNAcentral. Lineage: Bacteria; Bacillati; Chloroflexota.